GGGGCCGUAGCUCAGUUGGGAGAGCGCAGCAAUCGCACUGCUGAGGUCACCGGUUCGAUCCCGGUCGGCUCCACCA
Molecule: transfer RNA, 76 nt
Filed under: Methyloceanibacter sp.
Lineage: Bacteria; Pseudomonadati; Pseudomonadota; Alphaproteobacteria; Hyphomicrobiales; Hyphomicrobiaceae
Also listed under: 1 other name
Description: tRNA-Ala
Rfam family: tRNA
About the family: Transfer RNA (tRNA) molecules are approximately 80 nucleotides in length.
Source: RNAcentral